RNAcentral lists this transfer RNA (66 nucleotides) under Dermacentor variabilis (American dog tick). RNAcentral's name for it is "tRNA-Lys". Lineage: Eukaryota; Metazoa; Arthropoda; Arachnida; Ixodida; Ixodidae. The record is from RNAcentral.
CAUUGAAUGGCUGAAUUUUAAGCAAUGGUCUCUUAAACCAAUUUAUAGUUUUUAUGACUUUCAAUG